UUGACAGCCACAUAGAAUUAAGUCCUCUGAUACAACACAGGCAUGAUCACUGAAGCUUCCCUACACUGCCCCACCAAUGUGCUCCAAACUUGUUCUGGAGAGGCUAGAAGGUAGUUCAGUCUCUCUGUCCAUUGAAUCUUUAGCCUCU
Molecule: small RNA, 148 nt
Filed under: Chrysemys picta bellii (western painted turtle)
Lineage: Eukaryota; Metazoa; Chordata; Testudines; Emydidae
Description: TUC338 (ENSCPBG00000018801.1)
Source: RNAcentral